Molecule: long non-coding RNA, 318 nt
Filed under: Capsella grandiflora
Lineage: Eukaryota; Viridiplantae; Streptophyta; Magnoliopsida; Brassicales; Brassicaceae
Description: long non-coding RNA (CGRA_LNC001457)
Source: RNAcentral
UUGUGAUCUUUGUUUAACUUUGUAUUAUUGAAAAUCCAUAAUGAACAGAAACAAUAUAGAAAGGUCAGGGAGCCAGACAUGAGACAUGCAUGGAAGAAGAGACAAGAAAAAGAAGAGAAAGAGAGAACGAUCAAGCAGCUUUGAGGAACUUCAAGGUCUCGUCAAUGUGUUUCUCAGGCUGGAACUGGUUGUUGUAGAUGAGCUGAACAACACCGUUUUUGUCAAGAACGUAAGUCUGUCUCCCAGGCAAUGCUCCAAACAGGUCACCAGGCACACCCCAAUCUUUCCUGACCUUAUUUCCUUCGUCGCUUAGCAAUG